AUUGAACGCUGGCGGCAGGCCUAACACAUGCAAGUCGAACGGUAACAGGAAACAGCUUGCUGUUUCGCUGACGAGUGGCGGACGGGUGAGUAAUGUCUGGGAAACUGCCUGAUGGAGGGGGAUAACUACUGGAAACGGUAGCUAAUACCGCAUAACGUCGCAAGACCAAAGAGGGGGACCUUCGGGCCUCUUGCCAUCGGAUGUGCCCAGAUGGGAUUAGCUAGUAGGUGGGGUAACGGCUCACCUAGGCGACGAUCCCUAGCUGGUCUGAGAGGAUGACCAGCCACACUGGAACUGAGACACGGUCCAGACUCCUACGGGAGGCAGCAGUGGGGAAUAUUGCACAAUGGGCGCAAACCUGAUGCAGCCAUGCCGCGUGUAUGAAGAAGGCCUUCGGGUUGUAAAGUACUUUCAGCGGGGAGGAAGGGAGUAAAGUUAAUACCUUUACUCAUUGACGUUACCCGCAGAAGAAGCACCGGCUAACUCCGUG
This 490-nucleotide ribosomal RNA is filed under the name uncultured bacterium. RNAcentral describes it as "partial 16S ribosomal RNA". It matches the Rfam family "Bacterial small subunit ribosomal RNA", at positions 30 to 507 of the family's 1533-position model. The record is from RNAcentral.